This is a long non-coding RNA of Dreissena polymorpha, 1466 nucleotides long. RefSeq lists it as uncharacterized. NCBI's taxonomy places the organism in Eukaryota, Metazoa, Mollusca, Bivalvia, Myida, Dreissenidae. The transcript is spliced from 3 exons. The record is from RefSeq and is a predicted model, not a curated record.
AAUAAGUCUUACCACUUAUGAUUGAACAAAUUGUACAGCCAUGCACCUUAAUAUUUGAUGAUUUUUUACGCAACAAACCAGAAGAAAGUAGACAAAUGUAAACAAUCUGACUUGUCGAAACGCUCGCACACAUAUUUUCGAAUGGCGGCAAAAUCCUGUGCGAUCGGUCAUCGGAAAUUAGAACACGUUUGUUUCUAUAACGGAUUGUCCAUGGAGACAUGCUGUUGCUACUAUGAAAACACUAUUGUGAAGGACGCAGACGUGCCCCGAUAGGCAAUGGGGGAAAUGCAGCAGCCCAGACCUUUCACCCAUGCAUCUGUGAUGUGUUUAGCUCUACUCAUGUAAAUUUAUGAGUGUUGUACACUUGCCAAACUCUCUAGCAGUUGCUAAUUUACCAAACUUUUCCUUAUUUUAUUUUAAUUGGUUCCUAGUUUGUUUGUUUUUAGUUUUUACCAAAAGCUUGAAUUCCUAUUUGUCUAGAAAUUGAUUUAGUUAUUUUUCAUGGUCAGUUGUUCAUAUAUUGAAUUGAUAUGAUUUGUGAGACUGGGUUCAUCCCCUCUGAGAAAAGAACAACUAAGUAUGGGUAAUAAUAUUUUAAUAAAAUAUUUUAAAUCCAGUAUCUGGGGCACCAGUCUAUAUAUGCCGUGUUUUAGGCAAGUAAGCCCAUGUUCCACUUAUAUUUUGUGGAAUAAGUUUGCACAAAACAUCACUUUAAAUGUUAUUAUAUAUAUUUUACUUAUCCUUUAAAAUAGAUUUUCUUAGUCAAGUGAGAUCAAAACACCUUCAUAAGCAUAUUUCCUGGAUAAAGUUUACAUGAAUAUUUACUAAAAUAGAACCUUGACAUGCAUUGUGUGCUGUUGCUUCUUUAUACAUUUUCAUAGUUUUGUGUGACAAUACUGUAUGGUAUGCUAUCCAGAUUUGAUUCAUACGAUAUAUUGUUUUAUUAUUUUAUUUAUUUAUUUUUACUGUCAUUUCGGUAUCAGAAAAUGCUGUCCUAUACAAGCAUUAACACUACAUAGAGAUAUGUAUUUAUAUGUAUUUUUAUCACUGUCUUUUGCAUUAAAAUGUGCCAUCCCUGUCAGAGCAGAGCAGGUCUGUUCAAUUUAUUGGAUACUCCUUGAGAAAACUGGUCCUUGUUAUUUGCAUUAACUGUAAUCUUAAAUUGUCAUGUGCAACCUACACAGGUUGAAAUCGCUCAUUAUUUUCUGGUUUCAUGUAAUUGUUUGUUUAGAAUCUCUAAUUUGUGCCCUGAGAAAUGAAACUUUCCUCUCAGAAAGCUUGUGUUGUCUCCAGUGGGCAGAGGCUAAUCUAAGAUAACAUGGAGCAACAUUAGAUUGUAUAUUAUAGUAUAUUUUAUGAAAGUGCAAGUGUGUGAUCUCAGGUAGGGAACCAUUUUAUUUCGUUUUAUCUAUUCCUACUUCUUGUUUUAUAUGUUGUUGCUUGGAAAAACAGUAUGCUGUAUAUUG